This 430-nucleotide ribosomal RNA is filed under the name Pseudomonadota bacterium. RNAcentral's name for it is "Proteobacteria bacterium partial 16S ribosomal RNA". It matches the Rfam family "Bacterial small subunit ribosomal RNA", at positions 355 to 776 of the family's 1533-position model. The record is from RNAcentral. Lineage: Bacteria; Pseudomonadati; Pseudomonadota.
UGGGGAAUAUUGGACAAUGGGGGGAACCCUGAUCCAGCCAUGCCGCGUGUGUGAAGAAGGCCCUAUGGUUGUAAAGCACUUUAAGCGAGGAGGAGGGUACUGGUAUUAAUACUACCAGGUACUGGACGUUACUCGCAGAAUAAGCACCGGCUAACUCUGUGCCAGCAGCCGCGGUAAUACAGAGGGUGCGAGCGUUAAUCGGAUUUACUGGGCGUAAAGCGUGCGUAGGCGGCUAAUUGAGUCGGAUGUGAAAUCCCCGAGCUUAACUUGGGAAUUGCAUUCGAGACUGGUUAGCUAGAGUGUGGGAGAGGAUGGUAGAAUUCCAGGUGUAGCGGUGAAAUGCGUAGAGAUCUGGAGGAAUACCGAUGGCGAAGGCAGCCAUCUGGCCUAACACUGACGCUGAGGUACGAAAGCAUGGGGAGCAAACAGG